CUUUCCUGGCAAUGGGCAAAAAGACACCUGGUUGGUGGUGUUUUUCUAUUAGUCAGGGACAAAGAGGAUGGCAGUCCUUUCUUCAUCCUAGCUUGAUGCCUGGCUUUGUAUCUUAAUCUAUCUUAUGCUUAAGACUCAUAA
Mastomys coucha (southern multimammate mouse) is the source of this 141-nucleotide small nucleolar RNA. RefSeq annotates it as small nucleolar RNA SNORA48. The transcript has a single exon. The record is from RefSeq and is a predicted model, not a curated record. Lineage: Eukaryota; Metazoa; Chordata; Mammalia; Rodentia; Muridae.